Molecule: ribosomal RNA, 274 nt
Filed under: uncultured bacterium
Lineage: Bacteria
Description: partial 16S ribosomal RNA
Rfam family: Bacterial small subunit ribosomal RNA
Source: RNAcentral
CUACGGAGGGUCCAAGCGUUAUCCGGAUUCAUUGGGUUUAAAGGGUCCGCAGGCGGGAAAAUAAGUCAGUGGUGAAAGCCUACAGCUCAACUGUAGAACUGCCAUUGAUACGGUUUUUCUUGAGUAUAGAUGAAGUGGGCGGAAUAUAUCAUGUAGCGGUGAAAUGCAUAGAUAUGAUAUAGAACACCGAUUGCGAAGGCAGCUCACUAAACUAUUACUGACGCUCAGGGACGAAAGCGUGGGGAGCGAACAGGAUUAGAAACCCUAGUAGUCC